Long non-coding RNA from Brienomyrus brachyistius, 180 nucleotides. RefSeq lists it as uncharacterized. The transcript has 3 exons. NCBI's taxonomy places the organism in Eukaryota, Metazoa, Chordata, Actinopteri, Osteoglossiformes, Mormyridae. The record is from RefSeq and is a predicted model, not a curated record.
UGAGGCAUAAGUUAUAUGGCUGGUGGAAAUGAGGCAUAAGUCAUAUGGCUGGUGGAAAUGAGGCAUAAGUCAUAUGGCAGGUGGAAAUGAGGCAUAAGUCAUAUGGCUGGUGGAAAUGAGGCAUAAGUCAUAUGGCUGGUGGAAAUGAGGCAUAAGUUAUAUGGCUGGUGGAAAUGAGGC